UUAUUUUGGCAGAUUAGUGCGAUGAAUUUAGAAUUCAUAAAUGAAUUUUAUUUCAAAUAAUA
This 62-nucleotide transfer RNA is filed under the name Nebria olivieri. RNAcentral's name for it is "tRNA-Leu". Lineage: Eukaryota; Metazoa; Arthropoda; Insecta; Coleoptera; Carabidae. The record is from RNAcentral.